CUUUCCUAAAUCUCUGAUGCAUUUCAGACACCUCAAACCAUACUUCGUUUAGAUUUAUUUUUGGCCAUGUAUGAAUGUUUUAUUCAAUGUGUCUCUAUGGGCUAAUAGCAGUAAGGCCAAAUAAGUCUUUCAUCAAAUAAUUUUUAUAUAUUUUUUGGGAAUACCUACAGAGGUCCUAAAAAUAGCUGGUCCAUCUUAUGAUCAAACUAAAACAAUUCUAUAUGUUAGCUUUAUAGAUAUCGUCUUAGACUCCUAGGGGUUCAGCUUGUGGGCGUCGUAGAGCAAAACAGCUGACCCGUUCGUGUGAGUCUCAGCUUUCCAUAGUGGGGUGAUUUUUGUUUCUGGCUUAAACCGUUCGGACUUGACAGAUGUUUUCGUUGGAAGAAAAACAAAGUUGGCAUGCCAAAGGGACCGACUUCAAACGAGUCCCGUGAAGCUUGUCGUAGACCAAAACAGCCGUGAGUCUCAGCUUUCCAUAAUGGGGUCACUCCGCUGUAGAGCUGCCUGUUUCCACUGCAGAUGGGGUAAACCGACAUCGGCGGAUGUUGUGUAUUGAGACGCAGUCCUUGCAAAAAACUAAAGCCUCUAGGUUGAACAGACAGAUUAGUUUUCCACGCAGGCACAGACAUCGACUAUAGGCAUAUCAAAUAUAAAUGUUUACAAAAUAAUAAUAAGACAUGAUACAUUUCACAUUAUAGAAUUAUAGGAAUAUAGAAUUAAUAAAACAUCUGUUGGUCAGAAAAUAGAAGUGAUAAGAUUAGGCAUUCUAUUUCUGUGUUUAAAAUCCCCUCAAUGACCAUGGUGUCUGGUAAACCUUUGGGGAUGUUUAUUAUGAACAAAACAUCCCCAAUCUUCCAUCUGGUCCUCCAUUUAGUUUUUCAGCAUCGGAGCCCAUGGACGUGGAGAGUCCAACCGACACAGGAUACGUAGACACUAAUAUCAUAUCAGUGUCAGAAGUGUAAGUUUAGAGUAGGCUACCCUUCAUACGUUACAUAUUUCUUAAUCUAUAACAGGAAGACAUUUUAUUUGCAAUGUUCUGGUUUGGGUCCCGUGUGGCUCAGUUGGUAGAGCAUGGUGUUUGCAACGCCACGUUUGUGGGUUCGAUUCCCACGGGGGACCAGUACGGGGGAAAAAAUUAUGAAAUGUAUGCAUUCACUACUGUAAGUCGCUCUGGAUAAGAGCGUCUGCUAAAUGUCUAAAAUGUAAAAAAAAAAAAGUAAAAUGUAAUCCAUAAUCUGACUUAAUUGACUGUUAUUUUCCCCAUGGACAUCAGAGAGUACCUCAGCAAGUGGAUUGAGAGCAUCGACUGGGAUAAUGUGGCUGUUGAUGAAUCCUUGGCCACUGUCUGCUUCCACGAUCUCCUAGCCCAGCUUGAUGACCAACACAGCCACUUCGCCCUGGAGAAAGACCUCCUGCGACAACACAACAUCCGCAAGCUCAAGGGAAACCUCCAGGAGGAACCUGUUUACAUGGCCAUGAUCAUCUCUAGAAACCUGAAGGAGGAGCAGAGGAUUCUGGCUGCUGCCAAAAGCAUAGAGAUCGACAGAGAAGACACACAGACCAGCAUGGUCCUGGAGAAGCAAAAGCUGGACAACAAAGUCAAAGACAUGAAAAACAAGGUUCAGGAAGCGGAUCAGAAUAUAAAGUCUCUGGAAUACCUUCAAGACGAGCAUGACUUUAAGGAAAAUACUCUUAAGAACAGAGAACAUGAAAUGAACGGGCUGACACCCAAACAGCUGGAAUACGAGAAGCUGCUGAUUGUAGAGAUGAACUUAAGCUUGAAACACAAGAGAAAUGAAGUGGUUGGCCAGUUGGCGGAGGUGCUCAACAUGGCCGAGGCGGUCCAGUCAGACCUGAUCUCAGAGGAGCUGCCUGAGUGGAAGAAGAGGCAGCAGCGCUCCUGUAUUGGAGGACCACCCAACACAUGUCUGGACCAACUGCAGAACUGGUUCACAGCGGUGGCAGAAAGCCUGCAGCAGGUGAGGCAGCAGCUGAAGGAGCUCCAGGAACUAGAGCAGAAGUACACAUACGACAACGACCCAAUCAAACAGCAGAAAGGCUUCCUGGAGGGGCGGGCCUUGGCACUGUUCCGGAACCUCCUUGAACAUUCCUUGGUGGUAGAGAGACAGCCCUGUAUGCCCACACAUCUACAGAGACCUCUGGUGCUGCAGACAAAGAUGCAGUUCACUGUCAAGCUCAGAUUUCUUGUGACGCUCCAGGAAUUCAACUAUCAGCUCAAAGUGAAAGCUUUGUUUGACAAGGACGUUACAGAAAAGAAUGGGUUUCGUAAGUUCAACAUAUUGGGUACCAACACAAAAGUUAUGAAUAUGGAGGAGUCAAAUGGAAGCUGGCUGCAGAGUUUUUCCAUUUGAAACUGCUAGAGCAGAGAGUGACUGGAAAAGGAAAGAAAGAGGGGCCUCUCAUUGUGACAGAGGAGCUGCACUGCAUCUGCUUUGAGUCGGAACUCCGCCAGUCAGGUCUGGAAAUCAAACUAGGGACCAUCUCCCUGCCCAUCGUGGUCAUCUCCAACAGCAGCCAGAUGCCCAGUGGCUGGGCCUCCAUCCUGUGGUACAACAUGCUGACCAGCGAGCCCCAGAACCUGGAGUUCUUCCUGAGCCCUCCGACAGUGUCCUGGGGUCAGCUAUCUGAGGUGCUGAGCUGGCAGUUCUCCUCUGUCACCAAGAGGGGACUCAAUGAUGAGCAGCUAGGCAUGCUGGCCGACAAACUACUGGGCCAGAAAGCACAGAGGAAUCCUGAGGGCCUUAUCCCCUGGACCAUGUUUGGUGCUGUCAAGAGCCUCAGUGAGAAGAGGUUUCCCUUCUGGCUGUGGAUCGAAGCCAUCCUGGACCUCAUCAAGAGACAUCUGCUGACCCUGUGGAAUGAUGGUUGCAUCCUGGGCUUCGUGAGUAAGGAGAGGGCAAAGGCCAUGCUGACUGGGAAGUGUCCAGGCACGUUCCUGCUGCGCUUCAGUGAGAGUAGCAGAGACGGAGCCAUCACAUACACUUGGGUGGAACGCGACCUAAACGAUACGCCUGUAUUCCAUGCUGUGGAGCCUUAUGCCAAGAAGAAGCUGUCUGUCAUCUCUCUGCCUGAAAUCAUCCGCAACUACAAGGUGAUGGCAGCUGGGAACAUCCCAGAGAACCCACUCUGCUUCCUCUACCCAGACAUCCCCAAAGACGAGGCCUUCGGAAAGUUCUACACCAGGACCAUGGAGGCAGAGCCCAUGGAUGUGGAGAGUCCCACCGACACAGGAUACAUACAGAAAGAUUUCAUACCAGUGUCAGAACUAUGACUGCAGAGUUUGAGAACACACUGGACUUGGACCGCAACUGAGCCGAGCCGAUGGACAGGCAGGAUCUUUUAGACCAGAAGAUAUGUUUUAUACUGAAGCAAAAUUGCAUACUGUACACUUACUAUAUUUCACCUUUACUCUCCUUCCAUUUCCAAUUUCAGUUUUGUCACGUUUCAGAACGUUUUUUCUUUUUUUGUACAGAGCAAGUGUUGUGAAAAUUCACCACUAAGGCCUCAAACUCAAUGUAAAUGAAUCAAUCUAUAUUAUCGGUUAACUGGAGUUUCACAAACUCAAUCCAAGCUUGAUGAAAACUCUCUGAAAAAGGGCGUUCCUUUCAGUCCUUAUAAAUUGCUACACAAACAAGUCAUAUAAGCAUGAUUCAAUAACAACACUGGUUCCUGCAUGUGACUGACGUGGCUUCUUCUCUCAAAGCUGGGAACUUGAAACUGAGAUACUCAUUUUGUUUCCCAGAGCAAUGUUCUGGGUGUACUGUCAAUUGCUCUGAGGAGGUCAGUCAUCUGCAAGAACCAAGACAGCCUUGAAUUGUACAUUUCUUCUCACUCUCUCUUCAGACAGUACAAUUUUCUCUCACACAAGUUUUAAAAUAUAUGAAAUGAUAAACUGGAGCUGUAAAUACAAUUACAGUGUGAAUAAUCAUGUAGUACACACUGCACUGGAAACAAUUCAUACUUGUGUUAAUUUGGUGAUCAUUUGUAACAUUCAUGGAAUUAAUUAAUGUAGAUACCCAAGUCUUCACAUGCCUUUAUUCAAGAAUAUAGAGUGGGAGUAAAGGGAGAUAUCCAUAUUUAAAGUUCUUUAUUUAUUGUUUGAUUAUUGAAAUAAAUAUAUCUCCAUUGCCUGCAACACACAGCUAAAGCAGAUAUACUUCAAUGAAAACAAACUGACAUCAGUAAACACCUGUGGUACAUUCAAAAUAAUUAGCUAAUGUUGAAGUUGAUCUGCACCUACACAGGGGAACAAUAAACACUCAUACGUACGAGGCUUCUUGUGCAACUGGGACUGGGGAGACAAAGUCAAAUCCAAUGAAAGCAACACUGAACACUUGAGAUGAGUUAUUCAAUCAAAAUAUAUUCAUUCAUCAAAUCACAAGUAAGUUGCCUUAGGUACUUUUAGAACAAUAGUGUAGGGCUUGAGAUUUUGAUGGCAAUGUCCUCUGUCAUUACCAGAUUUGUAGUCGCUGUCCCUCCCAUAGUCAAUAACACAAACAAAUACACACAUGGACUAGUUCUCACCAAAACAACCUGACUUUUCAAGUAUAGGCUUAUACGUUUAUUUUACACUCUAAACAGUUAAACAAUCAAUAUGUGCAUCUCUGCAUAAAAAGUGAACCAUUAGUUAUGCGUAGAAUCGUCUUAGUGUUCUGCGUUCAUAUAGGCCCAUAAGGAUAACUAUUUUAUCUCUACCCAAAAGAGGCAUUUGGGUGAGUAGGGCAAGAUUUAAAGUCCACCAUUGUGGAGUUGUUCCGAACUAAAAACAUUCAAGUGUAAUGCACUGUCUGUAACUGAAGAUAAAUCCAUGUAAAACCAAAUAUCUGACAAAUAAGUCAACUUGUGUGACAUAACAGUAACACCAUUGACACUGCUGUAACCAUGAAGUGAUAAAUCAAUGUUUCGAAGGGUUUAAUGUUUUGCCCUAAAAUUUGACUUUGAAACCUGUCUGUAAAGAGCACAUGGCUGCUGGUUGAAUUGUAUUGUAUUGCUCCUGAGGCGGCUCACACAUAAAAUGCUCUCUUUUUUUACGUCGCCGACUAGACUUAUCAGGUGGAGCAAACGUACAGAAAAGCUUUGGCUGACACAAACAAAUAACCCCCUUUCUACUCAAAAUUAAUAUAAGAUUAUAGAACAAUCAAUAAAAAAAGAUUUUUUUGGUUAUUUUGGAGAAAAGGGUGCAAAAAUGUCUAGCUAUCAAAUAGCAAACCAACAAAACUAAACUCACUCCACAUAAUGCCAUACUUUCAAUUCAUAUGAAGCCAGAAGUCUCAAACCAUAGAUAGCCUGGUCCCAGAUCUGUCUGGCCUGUAUAGCCAACUGUAUAGCCAAUGCCAUAUACAGUGCAAACAGAUUUGCAACCAGGCUACCUAGAUCUGUGAACAUGUGGAAUAGUUUAUGUAAAGCAUUCUGCUUCAUGAAUAGAGUCAAACUUAAGCCUAAUGCAGUGUGUGGACUUUACCAAUUUCCUUCAAAGGCUGUGCCAGUGAGAGUCACUUGAUUUCACUUCAGAUUAAAUAGUAUUUACACUGAAUCCAUCUACCUCUGAUAUUCAUUUCAGGGAUAUACACACGUUACAUAAAUGUACACGUUAUCUUACGCAUACUUUCAGGUUUAACACGUUGUACAUAAAGAUAAAUGUUUUGUGAACUUAAAUGUGGAAAAUACAUUCCACAUAGUGCUGACACACACUGAGGGAGAGUUGCGCAGUACGACAUAAAAAAGCGAAGCGAAAGGAAACAACCAAAAAAAACGAAAAACAUCUGGGAAAAAGUCAAAGGUCAAUAAAUAUAUAUAUUUUUUAAACACAAUGUCGUUUUUCAAAUGCUAGAAAUACAAUACUUUUAUACAAAAUCAACAAUACAGUAUUAUCAACAGUAUACGUACGUGACCUACCACUAACGUGACAAAGGGACCACACAGACUUACAGUAAGUCUUCCAGAUAGUUAAUGGGGCCAUAGAAAUAGAAUGACCGGAAAGGACCAAGCCUCUCAGAUCACGUGUAUAUAUAAUUUCAAUGGGAAUGUCCGUUCUAGUUAUUUUAUUUCUAUGGAUAGAUAAGAGUAUUAGUUGGCUCAUAGUAGGCCGUCAAUGUUCUUCUCUGAUAUCUCCUUCUCUUUGUCCUCAGUGGCGCCCCCCGCUGGACUGUACUUGUUGUUGUAGUCCUGGAGCAUGGUCACAACAUCAUGGUGUCCAAAGUGCACUGCCUCUUCCAUCGGUGUGUUACCCCACCUUGAUGGAACAGACAAGAGACAUUGUAAACACUGCUCUUAAAUAGACACGUUUUACAUUAGCUAAGUUUCUAUCCAAUUGGCGACAGAUUUUCACGCGAAUAUUCUCAAAUCUGCAAAAACAAAAUGUGUGCAUUUUCCCACCAGAGAUGUGCUUCCAUGAAAUGUACUUGUUGCAGAUAAAAGGUUGUGCAUGAUGACGUAGUGGACAUAAAAAUAACUUUUGCUGUUAAAUUCCCAUGUACCGAAUAAAAAAUACAAGUUCA
Salmo salar (Atlantic salmon) is the source of this 6518-nucleotide RNA transcript. It is a transcript of the gene named signal transducer and activator of transcription 1-alpha/beta-like, with no coding region annotated. The record is from RefSeq and is a predicted model, not a curated record. Lineage: Eukaryota; Metazoa; Chordata; Actinopteri; Salmoniformes; Salmonidae.